Molecule: long non-coding RNA, 268 nt
Filed under: Ananas comosus (pineapple)
Lineage: Eukaryota; Viridiplantae; Streptophyta; Magnoliopsida; Poales; Bromeliaceae
Description: long non-coding RNA (ACOM_LNC030501)
Source: RNAcentral
CAAAUUCAAUCAUCACAAGGCGAAAUUCUUACCUCAAACCUUUGUUCUCGGACAUUAACAAGUAGUUAAAACUCCAAUUCUCCAAAAUCUACAACCAAUCACUUUACACAUUUCGACAAUCUUGUUUCUCACCAAACAAGAACCUUGAUCUACUAGUAAUAUCAAAUUUCGCAUAUAACCUUUUCACGCCUUCGGAUCAUAGCCUAUCUACUAACCUGAUCUAACUAUCAGCCAAGCCUUGACCUUUCAGUUCUAGGUUGCCACUUCA